RNAcentral lists this ribosomal RNA (375 nucleotides) under uncultured bacterium. RNAcentral describes it as "bacterial SSU rRNA". It matches the Rfam family "Bacterial small subunit ribosomal RNA", at positions 524 to 898 of the family's 1533-position model. The record is from RNAcentral.
GACGAGCUCUCCAAACGUUAUUCGGUAUCACUGGGCUUAAAGAGUUCGUAGGCGGCUUUGUAGGUGGGGUGUGAAAGCCCUCGGCUCAACCGAGGAAUUGCGCCCCAAACCGCAGGGCUUGAGGGAUAUAGGGGUAAGCGGAACAGAUGGUGGAGCGGUGAAAUGCAUUGAUAUCAUCUGGAACACCGGUGGCGAAAGCGGCUUACUGGAUAUUUUCUGACGCUGAGGAACGAAAGCUAGGGUAGCGAACGGGAUUAGAUACCCCGGUAGUCCUAGCCGUAAACGAUGAGCACUAGUCUGAAGGACUCUCACAGUCUUUCGGACGUAGCGAAAGUGUUAAGUGCUCCGCCUGGGGAGUAUGGUCGCAAGGCUGAA